CCUACGGGUGGCAGCAGUGGGGAAUAUUGGGCAAUGGAGGCAACUCUGAUCCAGCAACGCCGCGUGAAUGAUGAAGGUCUUCGGAUUGUAAAGCUCUGUCAUCGGGGAUGAACACAAUGACGGUACCUCAAUAGCACCCCACGGCUAACUACGUGCCAGCCGCCGCGGUAAUACGGAGGGGGCAAGCGUUAUCCGGAAGGACUUGUGGGAAAGGGGGCGUAGGUGGUUUAGUAAGGUUGAGGUGAAAUGCCGGGGCUCAACCGCGGAGCUGCCGCGGAAACUGUUAGGCUAGAGUGCAGGAGAGGUAAGUGGAAUUCCUAGUGUAGCGGUGAAAUGCGUAGAUAUUAGGAGGAACAUCAGGGGCGAAGGCGGCUUACUGGACUGUAACUGACGCUGAGGCACGAAAGCGUGGGGAGCAAACAGGAUUAGAUACCCCAGUAGUC
This 443-nucleotide ribosomal RNA is filed under the name uncultured bacterium. RNAcentral's name for it is "partial 16S ribosomal RNA". It matches the Rfam family "Bacterial small subunit ribosomal RNA", at positions 338 to 795 of the family's 1533-position model. The record is from RNAcentral.